Molecule: ribosomal RNA, 892 nt
Filed under: uncultured archaeon
Lineage: Archaea
Description: bacterial SSU rRNA
Rfam family: Archaeal small subunit ribosomal RNA
Source: RNAcentral
GCGAAUUCGCCCUUUUCCGGUUGAUCCUGCCGGAGUCGCUGCUAUUGGGAUUCGACUAAGCCAUGCGAGUCGUGAGGGUUCGGCCCUCGGCGAACGGCUCAGUAACACGUAGAUAAUUUGCCCUUAGGUGGAGGAUACCCUCGGGAAACUGAGAAUAAUACUCCAUAGAUCUAGACUGCUGGAAUGCUUUUAGAUUGAAAGAUUUAUCGCCUAAGGAUAAGUCUGCGGACUAUCAGGUAGUAGUUAGGGUAAAUACCUGACUAGCCUACGACGGAUACGGGUAGUGAGAGCUUUAGCCCGGAGAUGAUAUCUGAGACACGAUAUCAGGACCUACGGGGCGCAGCAGGCGCGAAAACUUCGCACUGUGCGAAAGCACGACGAGGGAAUCCCAAGUGCUGGCUCGUAAGAUUCAGCUGUUUUUCUGUCUAAAAAACAGAGAGAGUAAGAGCUGGGUAAGACGGGUGCCAGCCGCCGCGGUAAUACCUGCAGCUCAAGUGGUGGCCGCUAUUAUUGGGCCUAAAACGUCCGUAGCCGGUUCUAUAAAUGCCUGGGUAAAUCGUACGGCUUAACCGUACGAAUUCCGGGUAGACUGUUCAACUUGGGACCGGGAGAGGAUAGAGGUACUCCUGGGGUAGAGGUGAAAUUCUGUAAUCCUAGGGGGACCACCAGUGGCGAAGGCGUCUAGCUAGAACGGGUCUGACGGUGAGGGACGAAGCCCUGGGGAGCAAACGGGAUUAGAUACCCCGGUAGUCCAGGGUGUAAACGCUGCUCGCUUGAUGUUAGUCGGGCUCCGAGCCCAACUAGUGUCGGAGAGAAGUUGUUAAGCGAGCUGCCUGGGGAGUACGGUCGCAAGACUGAAACUUAAAGGAAUUGGCGGGAAGGGCGAAUUCGU